This 29-nucleotide non-coding RNA is filed under the name Mus musculus (house mouse). The record is from RNAcentral. Lineage: Eukaryota; Metazoa; Chordata; Mammalia; Rodentia; Muridae.
UCACUUUGUUGUUGAUCUUGGUAGCUAGG